This 497-nucleotide ribosomal RNA is filed under the name uncultured bacterium. RNAcentral's name for it is "partial 16S ribosomal RNA". It matches the Rfam family "Bacterial small subunit ribosomal RNA", at positions 28 to 507 of the family's 1533-position model. The record is from RNAcentral.
GAUGAACGCUGGCGGCGUACCUAAUACAUGCAAGUUGAGCGAACAGACGAGGAGCUUGCUCCUCUGACGUUAGCGGCGGACGGGUGAGUAACACGUGGAUAACCUACCUAUAAGACUGGGAUAACUUCGGGAAACCGGAGCUAAUACCGGAUAAUAUAUUGAACCGCAUGGUUCAAUAGUGAAAGACGGUUUUGCUGUCACUUAUAGAUGGAUCCGCGCCGCAUUAGCCAGUUGGUAAGGUAACGGCUUACCAAGGCGACGAUGCGUAGCCGACCUGAGAGGGUGAUCGGCCACACUGGAACUGAGACACGGUCCAGACUCCUACGGGAGGCAGCAGUAGGGAAUCUUCCGCAAUGGGCGAAAGCCUGACGGAGCAACGCCGCGUGAGUGAUGAAGGUCUUCGGAUCGUAAAACUCUGUUAUUAGGGAAGAACAAAUGUGUAAGUAACUAUGCACGUCUUGACGGUACCUAAUCAGAAAGCCACGGCUAACUACGUG